AGUGAACGCUGGCGGUAGGCCUAACACAUGCAAGUCGAACGGCAGCACAGUAAGAGCUUGCUCUUACGGGUGGCGAGUGGCGGACGGGUGAGGAAUACAUCGGAAUCUACUUUUUCGUGGGGGAUAACGUAGGGAAACUUACGCUAAUACCGCAUACGACCUACGGGUGAAAGCAGGGGAUCCUCGGACCUUGCGCGAUUGAAUGAGCCGAUGUCGGAUUAGCUAGUUGGCGGGGUAAAGGCCCACCAAGGCGACGAUCCGUAGCUGGUCUGAGAGGAUGAUCAGCCACACUGGAACUGAGACACGGUCCAGACUCCUACGGGAGGCAGCAGUGGGGAAUAUUGGACAAUGGGCGCAAGCCUGAUCCAGCCACACCGCGUGGGUGAAGAAGGCCUUCGGGUUGUAAAGCCCUUUUGUUGGGAAAGAAAAGCAGCAGGUUAAUACCCCGCUGUUCUGACGGUACCCAAAGAAUAAGCACCGGCUAACUUCGUG
Molecule: ribosomal RNA, 492 nt
Filed under: uncultured bacterium
Lineage: Bacteria
Description: partial 16S ribosomal RNA
Rfam family: Bacterial small subunit ribosomal RNA
Source: RNAcentral